UACAGAGGUCUCAAGCGUUGUUCGGAUUCAUUGGGCGUAAAGGGUGCGUAGGCGGCGUGGUAAGUCGGGUGUGAAAUCUCGGAGCUUAGCUCCGAAACUGCAUUCGAUACUGCCGUGCUUGAGGACUGGAGAGGAGACUGGAAUUUACGGUGUAGCGGUGAAAUGCGUAGAUAUCGUAAGGAAGACCAGUGGCGAAGGCGGGUCUCUGGACAGUUCCUGACGCUGAGGCACGAAGGUCAGGGGAGCAAACGGG
Molecule: ribosomal RNA, 253 nt
Filed under: uncultured bacterium
Lineage: Bacteria
Description: partial 16S ribosomal RNA
Rfam family: Bacterial small subunit ribosomal RNA
Source: RNAcentral